Molecule: ribosomal RNA, 254 nt
Filed under: uncultured bacterium
Lineage: Bacteria
Description: partial 16S ribosomal RNA
Rfam family: Bacterial small subunit ribosomal RNA
Source: RNAcentral
UACGUAGGGGGCGAGCGUUGUCCGAAGUUACUGGGCGUAAAGAGCGCGUAGGCGGGUCUUUAAGUGAGGGGUGAAAGGUUCAGGGCUCAACCCGAACACUGCCUUUCAUACUGGGGACCUUGAGUGCGGGAGAGGCGAGUGGAAUGGUCGGUGUAGCGGUGAAAUGCGUAGAUAUCGAUCGGAACACCCAUGGCGAAGGCAGCUCGCUGGCCUGCAACUGACGCUGAGGCGCGAAAGCGUGGGGAGCAAACAGG